This 73-nucleotide transfer RNA is filed under the name Candidatus Nomurabacteria bacterium. Its description in RNAcentral is "tRNA-Lys". It matches the Rfam family "tRNA". Rfam says of the family: Transfer RNA (tRNA) molecules are approximately 80 nucleotides in length. Their secondary structure includes four short double-helical elements and three loops (D, anti-codon, and T loops). Further hydrogen bonds mediate the characteristic L-shaped molecular structure. tRNAs have two regions of fundamental functional importance: the anti-codon, which is responsible for specific mRNA codon recognition, and the 3' end, to which the tRNAs corresponding amino acid is attached (by aminoacyl-tRNA synthetases). tRNAs cope with the degeneracy of the genetic code in two manners: having more than one tRNA (with a specific anti-codon) for a particular amino acid; and 'wobble' base-pairing, i.e. permitting non-standard base-pairing at the 3rd anti-codon position. Lineage: Bacteria; Candidatus Nomuraibacteriota. The record is from RNAcentral.
CCGCCCAUAGCUCAGCUGGUAGAGCACUCGCCUCUUAAGCGAUUGGUCCUUGGUUCGAGUCCAAGUGGGCGGA